UCAAGUUUUCUCACAUGUAAAAUCCUGGCUUAAAACGACCCAAGUAAAAUAAUGACUCACUAAUCUUCUUCACAGCCCAAACUGCAACUAAACUAAACUCAAGAUGCGAUGCGAUGCGGUGCGACGUGUGUAUGGAAUCCCAAGUGUCGAUUGCUUUAAGAGUUGUUUUGACUUUGGUGAGCAAAUCUUACGAGGAAUUCUAUAUCAUAAACAAUUCUUAAGGCCAAGAAGAUCUUAAAAUCUCACCCACAACUGGGCAUGCACGGUCGGGAUGGAUGGGUGCAUGCCUAUUUUGAGACAACAAAAUAAAUGGUUACGAGUUACGAAGAAAAACUCUGGUGAAGUUGAGAAUUCUUGAUGAUUUUGUGGAAAUUCGAGUACGACCUAAAAGUCUUGAUGUGAGGAAAAAUUCGGCAAUUAUGGACCGAGAUCAAUAGUAUAAUUGGUGCUUUUGUUGAUAAGUGGGUAGUAAUUAGAGGCACGGCAUUACUCAAAAACUGAAAUUUUUCAACAGUGCUAAAAACCAGGACAGGUUUGUGGUGGGUAAAUGUUUGCCCACAUUAUGCAAAUAUCCAGCACAGCAUAUCAACAACAUCAUUUUUCUAAUGGUAACAACUUGCUUGGAAAAAUAUUAAUUUUUAUGUUGAAGACAAUGCAAAAAAUAAAGUUUUGUGCAAAUUAUAUUUGCAAAGCCAUCA
Folsomia candida is the source of this 698-nucleotide long non-coding RNA. RefSeq lists it as uncharacterized. The transcript is spliced from 2 exons. The record is from RefSeq and is a predicted model, not a curated record. NCBI's taxonomy places the organism in Eukaryota, Metazoa, Arthropoda, Collembola, Entomobryomorpha, Isotomidae.